Molecule: long non-coding RNA, 854 nt
Organism: Heterocephalus glaber (naked mole-rat)
Lineage: Eukaryota; Metazoa; Chordata; Mammalia; Rodentia; Bathyergidae
Source: RefSeq, a predicted model, not a curated record
CACUUAAGAAAGCAAGUUCCACAGGGCAAGGAGUCUGCUGUCUCUGCUGGUCCUUACUGCCACAGUGCCUGAUAUACAGCAGAGGAUUAAUGAUUUUUGUUGAAUGAAUCAGUAAAGAUGCAGCCUGGGAAGCUGGUGCAAAGCAGAUUGCCUUUCAUUUGAGUUGUGAAAGUCAGGUCACCAUGAGCAAUCCUGGUAGUUAAACAUGGACUUGUGUAGAGCGAAUGGCAGCAAGUGGCUGUUCAGAAAGAAUCAGCUCACCACAACAUCCUGCAUGCUCAGUGGGGACUGUCUCCUCUGUGUUUACAACUCAAUCAUAGUCAGUGUUAACCUGAGUUUCACAGACAACAAGGGAAACCACCAACUGCAGUGUUUUUCCCAGGAGCAAAGAGCCAUUGUGGUAGCAGAGAGUUUAACCAACCCAAAGUUAAAGGUGAAAUUGCAGACUUUUAAAACCAGAAGCAUUUGGAGCACAUAGGAAUUGGCUCUCUUCCAUCACCACUGCCAGCGUCUUGGUGGAGGAUGGGAUUGAAACCAGCCAUUUCUGAAGCACUUCGCAUAAUUACUUCCUUUGAUCUUCACAACAAACUGCAUUUAAAACUACCUGCCUUUAAGUGCUUAAAUAACUCACCAAAGAUAAAAUAAAAUUGUAAGGAUGGCUCCACUUGCGUUUCCUGAUACCAGAUCUUGUAUUUUCAAAACUAAAUAAAGGGAAUAUCCAACAAGAAGAGUCUUAGAUUGGGAGAAGUGAAUGUGGUCCACGGCAAGGGGACAUCACAGAGGAGCUCAUAGGAAGCAACACUCAGCAGAUCGGCCACUAGAGUAUUGACAGCAGGUACCAAGGAUAAAGCAUC